UCGGGGGCAAUGAUGCUGAAAACUACCUAUUUUCUGAGGGAAUAAAUUUCCCUAAUGAUUGUGAAAAGCCAAUGGAUCCUUUGAGCCCUCA
Juglans microcarpa x Juglans regia is the source of this 91-nucleotide small nucleolar RNA. The record is from RefSeq and is a predicted model, not a curated record. Lineage: Eukaryota; Viridiplantae; Streptophyta; Magnoliopsida; Fagales; Juglandaceae.